CCAUACGACCGUACCGCAAACCGACACUGGUGCGCGAGAUGAGUAUUCUAAGGCGCUUGAGAGAACUCAGGAGAAGGAACUCGGCAAAUUGACACCGUAACUUCGGAAGAAGGUGUGCCCUAUUAGUGUGUAGUGAACAACGAAGCAUGAAUGGGUUGCAAGAAAUCGGUGGCUGCGACUGUUUAUUAAAAACACAGCACUCUGCAAACACGAAAGUGGACGUAUAGGGUGUGACGCCUGCCCGGUGCUGGAAGAUUAAAUGAUGGGGUGCAAGCUCUUGAUUGAAGUCCCAGUAAACGGCGGCCGUAACAAUAACGGUCCUAAGGUAGCGAAAUUCCUUGUCGGGUAAGUUCCGACCUGCACGAAUGGCGUAACGAUGGCCACACUGUCUCCUCCUGAGACUCAGCGAAGUUGAAAUGUUUGUGAUGAUGCAAUCUCCCCGCGGAAAGACGGAAAGACCCCAUGAACCUUUACUGUAGCUUUGUAUUGGACUUUGAACAGAUCUGUGUAGGAUAGGUGGGAGGCUUUGAAGCAGGGUCGCUAGAUCUUGUGGAGCCAACGUUGAAAUACCACCCUGGUGUGUUUGAGGUUCUAACCUAGGUCCAUUAUCUGGAUCGGGGACAGUGCAUGGUAGGCAGUUUGACUGGGGCGGUCUCCUCCCAAAGCGUAACGGAGGAGUUCGAAGGUACGCUAGUUACGGUCGGACAUCGUGACGAUAGUGCAAUGGCAUAAGCGUGCUUAACUGCGAGACUGACAAGUCGAGCAGAUGCGAAAGCAGGACAUAGUGAUCCGGUGGUUCUGUAUGGAAGGGCCAUCGCUCAACGGAUAAAAGGUACUCUGGGGAUAACAGGCUGAUACCGCCCAAGAGUUCAUAUCGACGGCGGUGUUUGGCACCUCGAUGUCGGCUCAUCUCAUCCUGGGGCUGUAGCCGGUCCCAAGGGUAUGGCUGUUCGCCAUUUAAAGAGGUACGUGAGCUGGGUUUAAAACGUCGUGAGACAGUUUGGUCCCUAUCUUCCGUGGGCGCUGCAGAUUUGAGGAAGCCUGCUCCUAGUACGAGAGGACCGGAGUGGACACACCUCUGGUGUAUCGGUUGUCACGCCAGUGGCAUUGCCGAGUAGCUAAGUGUGGAAGAGAUAACCGCUGAAAGCAUCUAAGCGGGAAACUCGUUUCAAGAUGAGAUCUGCCGGGGCCUUGAGUCCCCUAAAGAGUCGUUCAAGACCAGGACGUUGAUAGGUCAGGUGC
RNAcentral lists this ribosomal RNA (1242 nucleotides) under metagenome. RNAcentral's name for it is "bacterial LSU rRNA". It matches the Rfam family "Bacterial large subunit ribosomal RNA", at positions 1634 to 2868 of the family's 2925-position model. The record is from RNAcentral.